GGGUUGUGAGGUUAAGCGACUAAGCGUACACGGUGGAUGCCCUGGCAGUCAGAGGCGAUGAAGGACGUGCUAAUCUGCGAUAAGCGUCGGUAAGGUGAUAUGAACCGUUAUAACCGGCGAUUUCCGAAUGGGGAAACCCAGUGUGAUUCGUCACACUAUCAUUAACUGAAUCCAUAGGUUAAUGAGGCGAACCGGGGGAACUGAAACAUCUAAGUACCCCGAGGAAAAGAAAUCAACCGAGAUUCCCCCAGUAGCGGCGAGCGAACGGGGAGCAGCCCAGAGCCUGAAUCAGUGUGUGUGUUAGUGGAAGCGUCUGGAAAGGCGCGCGAUACAGGGUGACAGCCCCGUACACAAAAAUGCACAUGCUGUGAGCUCGAUGAGUAGGGCGGGACACGUGGUAUCCUGUCUGAAUAUGGGGGGACCAUCCUCCAAGGCUAAAUACUCCUGACUGACCGAUAGUGAACCAGUACCGUGAGGGAAAGGCGAAAAGAACCCCGGCGAGGGGAGUGAAAAAGAACCUGAAACCGUGUACGUACAAGCAGUGGGAGCACGCUUAGGCGUGUGACUGCGUACCUUUUGUAUAAUGGGUCAGCGACUUAUAUUCUGUAGCAAGGUUAACCGAAUAGGGGAGCCGAAGGGAAACCGAGUCUUAACUGGGCGUUAAGUUGCAGGGUAUAGACCCGAAACCCGGUGAUCUAGCCAUGGGCAGGUUGAAGGUUGGGUAACACUAACUGGAGGACCGAACCGACUAAUGUUGAAAAAUUAGCGGAUGACUUGUGGCUGGGGGUGAAAGGCCAAUCAAACCGGGAGAUAGCUGGUUCUCCCCGAAAGCUAUUUAGGUAGCGCCUCGUGAAUUCAUCUCCGGGGGUAGAGCACUGUUUCGGCAAGGGGGUCAUCCCGACUUACCAACCCGAUGCAAACUGCGAAUACCGGAGAAUGUUAUCACGGGAGACACACGGCGGGUGCUAACGUCCGUCGUGAAGAGGGAAACAACCCAGACCGCCAGCUAAGGUCCCAAAGUCAUGGUUAAGUGGGAAACGAUGUGGGAAGGCCCAGACAGCCAGGAUGUUGGCUUAGAAGCAGCCAUCAUUUAAAGAAAGCGUAAUAGCUCACUGGUCGAGUCGGCCUGCGCGGAAGAUGUAACGGGGCUAAACCAUGCACCGAAGCUGCGGCAGCGACGCUUAUGCGUUGUUGGGUAGGGGAGCGUUCUGUAAGCCUGCGAAGGUGUGCUGUGAGGCAUGCUGGAGGUAUCAGAAGUGCGAAUGCUGACAUAAGUAACGAUAAAGCGGGUGAAAAGCCCGCUCGCCGGAAGACCAAGGGUUCCUGUCCAACGUUAAUCGGGGCAGGGUGAGUCGACCCCUAAGGCGAGGCCGAAAGGCGUAGUCGAUGGGAAACAGGUUAAUAUUCCUGUACUUGGUGUUACUGCGAAGGGGGGACGGAGAAGGCUAUGUUGGCCGGGCGACGGUUGUCCCGGUUUAAGCGUGUAGGCUGGUUUUCCAGGCAAAUCCGGAAAAUCAAGGCUGAGGCGUGAUGACGAGGCACUACGGUGCUGAAGCAACAAAUGCCCUGCUUCCAGGAAAAGCCUCUAAGCAUCAGGUAACAUCAAAUCGUACCCCAAACCGACACAGGUGGUCAGGUAGAGAAUACCAAGGCGCUUGAGAGAACUCGGGUGAAGGAACUAGGCAAAAUGGUGCCGUAACUUCGGGAGAAGGCACGCUGAUAUGUAGGUGAAGUCCCUCGCGGAUGGAGCUGAAAUCAGUCGAAGAUACCAGCUGGCUGCAACUGUUUAUUAAAAACACAGCACUGUGCAAACACGAAAGUGGACGUAUACGGUGUGACGCCUGCCCGGUGCCGGAAGGUUAAUUGAUGGGGUUAGCGCAAGCGAAGCUCUUGAUCGAAGCCCCGGUAAACGGCGGCCGUAACUAUAACGGUCCUAAGGUAGCGAAAUUCCUUGUCGGGUAAGUUCCGACCUGCACGAAUGGCGUAAUGAUGGCCAGGCUGUCUCCACCCGAGACUCAGUGAAAUUGAACUCGCUGUGAAGAUGCAGUGUACCCGCGGCAAGACGGAAAGACCCCGUGAACCUUUACUAUAGCUUGACACUGAACAUUGAGCCUUGAUGUGUAGGAUAGGUGGGAGGCUUUGAAGUGUGGACGCCAGUCUGCAUGGAGCCGACCUUGAAAUACCACCCUUUAAUGUUUGAUGUUCUAACGUGGACCCGUAAUCCGGGUUGCGGACAGUGUCUGGUGGGUAGUUUGACUGGGGCGGUCUCCUCCUAAAGAGUAACGGAGGAGCACGAAGGUUGGCUAAUCCUGGUCGGACAUCAGGAGGUUAGUGCAAUGGCAUAAGCCAGCUUGACUGCGAGCGUGACGGCGCGAGCAGGUGCGAAAGCAGGUCAUAGUGAUCCGGUGGUUCUGAAUGGAAGGGCCAUCGCUCAACGGAUAAAAGGUACUCCGGGGAUAACAGGCUGAUACCGCCCAAGAGUUCAUAUCGACGGCGGUGUUUGGCACCUCGAUGUCGGCUCAUCACAUCCUGGGGCUGAAGUAGGUCCCAAGGGUAUGGCUGUUCGCCAUUUAAAGUGGUACGCGAGCUGGGUUUAGAACGUCGUGAGACAGUUCGGUCCCUAUCUGCCGUGGGCGCUGGAGAACUGAGGGGGGCUGCUCCUAGUACGAGAGGACCGGAGUGGACGCAUCACUGGUGUUCGGGUUGUCAUGCCAAUGGCACUGCCCGGUAGCUAAAUGCGGAAGAGAUAAGUGCUGAAAGCAUCUAAGCACGAAACUUGCCCCGAGAUGAGUUCUCCCUGACUCCUUGAGAGUCCUGAAGGAACGUUGAAGACGACGACGUUGAUAGGCCGGGUGUGUAAGCGCAGCGAUGCGUUGAGCUAACCGGUACUAAUGAACCGUGAGGCUUAACCUUACAACGCCGAAG
RNAcentral lists this ribosomal RNA (2925 nucleotides) under Escherichia coli. RNAcentral's name for it is "partial 23S ribosomal RNA". It matches the Rfam family "Bacterial large subunit ribosomal RNA". The record is from RNAcentral. Lineage: Bacteria; Pseudomonadati; Pseudomonadota; Gammaproteobacteria; Enterobacterales; Enterobacteriaceae.